Molecule: ribosomal RNA, 468 nt
Filed under: uncultured bacterium
Lineage: Bacteria
Description: partial 16S ribosomal RNA
Rfam family: Bacterial small subunit ribosomal RNA
Source: RNAcentral
GACGAACGCUGGCGGCGUGCUUAACACAUGCAAGUCGAACGGUGAUGCUCCAGCUUGCUGGAGUGGAUCAGUGGCGAACGGGUGAGUAACACGUGAGCAACCUGCCCCAGACUCUGGAAUAAGCGCUGGAAACGGCGUCUAAUACUGGAUACGAAACUGGCCCGCAUGGGCAUGGUUUGGAAAGUUUUUCGGUUUGGGAUGGGCUCGCGGCCUAUCAGCUUGUUGGUGAGGUAAUGGCUCACCAAGGCGACGACGGGUAGCCGGCCUGAGAGGGCGACCGGCCACACUGGGACUGAGACACGGCCCAGACUCCUACGGGGGGCAGCAGUGGGGAAUAUUGCACAAUGGGCGAAAGCCUGAUGCAGCGACGCCGCGUGAGGGAUGACGGCCUUCGGGUUGUAAACCUCUUUCAGCAGGGAAGAAGCGAAAGUGACGGUACCUGCAGAAGAAGCACCGGCUAACUACGUG